AGAGUUCCAUUCUGGCUCAGGAUGAACGCUGACAGAAUGCUUAACACAUGCAAGUCUACUUGAUCCUUCGGGUGAUGGUGGCGGACGGGUGAGUAACGCGUAAAGAACUUGCCUUGCAGUCUGGGACAACGUCUGGAAACGGACGCUAAUACCGGAUAUUAUGAUUGAAUCGCAUGAUUUGAUUAUGAAAGCUAUAUGCGCUGCGAGAGAGCUUUGCGUCCCAUUAGUUAGUUGGUGAGGUAACGGCUCACCAAGACGAUGAUGGGUAGCCGGCCUGAGAGGGUGAACGGCCACAAGGGGACUGAGACACGGCCCUUACUCCUACGGGAGGCAGCAGUGGGGAAUACUGGACAAUGGACCAAAAGUCUGAUCCAGCAAUUCUGUGUGCACGAUGAAGUUUUUCGGAAUGUAAAGUGCUUUCAGUUGGGAAGAAGAAAGUGACGGUACCAACAGAAGAAGCGACGGCUAAAUACGUGCCAGCAGCCGCGGUAAUACGUAUGUCGCAAGCGUUAUCCGGAUUUAUUGGGCGUAAAGCGCGUCUAGGCGGUUUGGUAAGUCUGAUGUGAAAAUGCGGGGCUCAACUCCGUAUUGCGUUGGAAACUGCCAAACUAGAGUACUGGAGAGGUAGGCGGAACUACAAGUGUAGAGGUGAAAUUCGUAGAUAUUUGUAGGAAUGCCGAUGGGGAAGCCAGCCUACUGGACAGAUACUGACGCUAAAGCGCGAAAGCGUGGGUAGCAAACAGGAUUAGAUACCCUGGUAGUCCUCGCCGUAAACGAUGAUUCUUAGGUGUUGGGGGUCGAACCUUCAGCGCCCAAGCCUACCGCGAUAAGUAAUCUGCCUGGGGAGUACGUACGCAAGUAUGAAACUCAAAGGAAUUGACGGGGACCCGCACAAGCAGUGGAGUAUGUGGUUUAAUUCGAAGCAACGCGAAGAACCUUACCAGGGCCUGACAUAAACAGGAAUAAUUUAGAGAUAGAUUAGCUCUUCGGGGCCUGGUUACAGGUGGUGCAUGGUUGUCGUCAGCUCGUGUCGUGAGAUGUUGGGUUAAGUCCCGCAACGAGCGCAACCCCUAUCCUUAGUAGCCAGCAAGUGAAGUUGGGCACUCUGAGGAGACUGCCAGGGAUAACCUGGAGGAAGGCGGGGAUGACGUCAAAUCAUCAUGCCCCUUAUGAUUUGGGCUACACACGUGCUACAAUGGCGUAAACAAAGGGAAGCGAGAGGGUGACCUGGAGCAAAUCCCAAAAAUAACGUCCCAGUUCGGACUGUAGUCUGCAACCCGACUACACGAAGCUGGAAUCGCUAGUAAUCGCGGAUCAGCAUGCCGCGGUGAAUAC
RNAcentral lists this ribosomal RNA (1335 nucleotides) under uncultured bacterium. Its description in RNAcentral is "partial 16S ribosomal RNA". It matches the Rfam family "Bacterial small subunit ribosomal RNA", at positions 8 to 1369 of the family's 1533-position model. The record is from RNAcentral.